CUACGGGUGGCUCCAGUUAGGGAUCUUUUACAAUGCACGCAAGUGUGAUAAAGUGAGCCAGAGUGUUUUUCUUAAUAGAAAAACUUUUGUCUGUUGUAAAAAGACAGACGAAUAAGGACUGGGAGAUAUCGGUGCCAGCCGCCGCGGUAAUACCGAAAGUCCAAGUUGCAGCCACAAUUAUUGGGUCUAAAACAUUCGUAGCUUGUUUAGUAAGUUUUUUGUGAAAUCUCAUCUCUUAAGGGUGAGGCUUGCAGAAAGUACUGCUGAGCUAGAGACUGGGAGAAGCGAGAAGUAUAGCUGAGGUAGUGGUAAAAUAUGUUAAUCUUGGCUAGACUAACAACAGCGAAGGCAUCUCGCUAGCACAGAUCUGACAGUGAGGAAUGAAGGCUAGGGUCGCAAAACGGAUUAGAUACCCCCGUAGUC
Molecule: ribosomal RNA, 423 nt
Filed under: uncultured archaeon
Lineage: Archaea
Description: partial 16S ribosomal RNA
Rfam family: Archaeal small subunit ribosomal RNA
Source: RNAcentral